GGGUUGUUAGCUCAGUCGGUAGAGCAGCGGACUUUUAAUCCGUUGGUCGCAGGUUCAAGUCCUGCACAACCCACCA
This 76-nucleotide transfer RNA is filed under the name Rhizobacter gummiphilus. RNAcentral describes it as "tRNA-Lys". It matches the Rfam family "tRNA". From Rfam's summary of the family: Transfer RNA (tRNA) molecules are approximately 80 nucleotides in length. Their secondary structure includes four short double-helical elements and three loops (D, anti-codon, and T loops). The record is from RNAcentral. Lineage: Bacteria; Pseudomonadati; Pseudomonadota; Betaproteobacteria; Burkholderiales; Sphaerotilaceae. RNAcentral also lists the same sequence under 12 other names.